RNAcentral lists this long non-coding RNA (768 nucleotides) under Mus musculus (house mouse). RNAcentral's name for it is "long non-coding RNA chr11:96807379-96808147". The record is from RNAcentral. Lineage: Eukaryota; Metazoa; Chordata; Mammalia; Rodentia; Muridae.
AAAAAAAAAAAAAAAAAGUCUGUUAAUCCUAAAACCUACAGCCAAGGUGCUCCCAGCCUGAGCUCAAAGUGGCCCACAAAGGACAAAGCCAGUUCUGAGUUACCAAAGCUGCCAUUUGAUGAUGGAAACUGACUGGAGAGGGAAAGGUUACAGGAGAGUAUAUAGAGGCAGACUACUCUGCCAUAGAGGUGCUAAUUCUUGAAAUUGGAGAAAAAAAAAACUUUUUCCAAUUACAAAGUUAUAUCAGUUUGUCCAUCUAAGCCAUUGGCUCAAGUAUUGCAGGAUGGCCUAUGGGAGAUGGAAGAGAAGGGCCUUUGCUCUUAGGGUAGAAACUCUUAGAGCCCCUCUCUCUCUUUCUUUUUUUUUUUUCUUUCUUUCUUUUCUAUUUUUGUUUUUUUUUUAAUUUUUUUUUUUUAUUUUCAGCUUUGAACCCUGAAACUGCUUGUGGCAGGUUCAGUUACUGACAGCACAAAUUCCAUUGAGUCAAUUCAAGGAUUGAAUGACUUCACAAGCCCUGGUCUCAGGAGAUUAACUUUCAUAUUGGGGUAGUGGUUCACUUGAGAAUACAAAAUCUUCAGAUUAACUGAUGUCCAAAAUACUGUCUUGAAUCAUGAGAUCCAUCAAUUUUUAGUAUUGUCUAGACCUACAAAUAGAACUACAUUGUAAAAUCUUUUUCAGCAUGUGUUAAGAUGUAUGUGAAAAUUUCUGUUUAAGUUUAAAGUUCAUACCAUACUGUCAGUUUUUGUCUUAAUAAAAUUAUAGAUUUCU